RNAcentral lists this ribosomal RNA (474 nucleotides) under uncultured bacterium. RNAcentral describes it as "bacterial SSU rRNA". It matches the Rfam family "Bacterial small subunit ribosomal RNA", at positions 30 to 501 of the family's 1533-position model. The record is from RNAcentral.
AUUGAACGCUGGCGGCAGGCCUAACACAUGCAAGUCGAGCGCGAAAGUCUUCGGAUGAGUAAAGCGGCGAACGGGUGAGUAAUGCAUGGGAAUCUGCCUGGUAGUGGGGGACAACGUCUCGAAAGGGACGCUAAUACCGCAUACGCCCUACGGGGAAAGGGGGGGAGUCUUCGGACCUCUCGCUAUCAGAUGAGCCCAUGUCAGAUUAGCUAGUUGGUGAGGUAAAGGCUCACCAAGGCGACGAUCUGUAACUGGUCUGAGAGGAUGAUCAGUCACACUGGAACUGAGACACGGUCCAGACUCCUACGGGAGGCAGCAGUGGGGGAAUAUUGGACAAUGGGGGCAACCCUGAUCCAGCCAUGCCGCGUGUGUGAAGAAGGCCCUAGGGUUGUAAAGCACUUUCAGUGGGAGAAAGGUUAUUCACCUAAUACGUGAGUAGAUUGAUGUUACCACAGAAGAAGACACCGGACUAAC